UGGGGAAUAUUGGACAAUGGGCGCAAGCCUGAUCCAGCAAUGCCGCGUGAGUGAUGAAGGCCUUAGGGUUGUAAAGCUCUUUCGCCCGCGACGAUGAUGACGGUAGCGGGAGAAGAAGCCCCGGCUAACUUCGUGCCAGCAGCCGCGGUAAUACGAAGGGGGCGAGCGUUGUUCGGAUUUACUGGGCGUAAAGGGCGCGUAGGCGGCCCUCUUUGUCGCGUGUGAAAGCCCCGGGCUCAACCUGGGAAUGGCGCGCGAAACGGGGGGGCUGGAGUUCGGGAGAGGAGCGUGGAAUUCCCAGUGUAGAGGUGAAAUUCGUAGAUAUUGGGAAGAACACCGGUGGCGAAGGCGGCGCUCUGGACCGAGACUGACGCUAAGGCGCGAAAGCGUGGGGAGCAAACAGGAUUAGAUACCCUGGUAGUCCACGCCGUAAACGAUGUGUGCUAGACGUUGGGGAGCCUAGCUCUCCGGUGUCGCCGCAAACGCUUUAAGCACACCGCCUGGGGAGUACGGCCGCAAGG
This 521-nucleotide ribosomal RNA is filed under the name uncultured bacterium. RNAcentral describes it as "bacterial SSU rRNA". It matches the Rfam family "Bacterial small subunit ribosomal RNA", at positions 355 to 893 of the family's 1533-position model. The record is from RNAcentral.